UACAGAGGGUGCAAGCGUUAAUCGGAAUUACUGGGCGUAAAGCGUGCGUAGACGGUUAUGUAAGUCAGAUGUGAAAGCCCAGGGCUCAACCUUGGAAUUGCAUUUGAGACUGCAUAGCUAGGGUGCGGAAGAGGGAAGCGGAAUUUCCGGUGUAGCGGUGAAAUGCGUAGAUAUCGGAAGGUACACCAGUGGCGAAAGCGGCUUCCUGGUCCAGCACCGACGUUCAGGCACGAAAGCGUGGGGAGCAAACAGG
RNAcentral lists this ribosomal RNA (253 nucleotides) under uncultured bacterium. Its description in RNAcentral is "partial 16S ribosomal RNA". It matches the Rfam family "Bacterial small subunit ribosomal RNA", at positions 524 to 776 of the family's 1533-position model. The record is from RNAcentral.